Molecule: long non-coding RNA, 2017 nt
Organism: Papaver somniferum (opium poppy)
Lineage: Eukaryota; Viridiplantae; Streptophyta; Magnoliopsida; Ranunculales; Papaveraceae
Exons: 3
Source: RefSeq, a predicted model, not a curated record
UAACCUUGAAAAAUACAAAGAAGCAAAUGUAUAUACUACUACUAUAUUUCAUUUCUUCUUUGGUUCGAUUAAAAUUCCUUACCAAACAACACUCUCAUCUCAUCUAAUCUUCCUCAGGGAAUCCAAAUUAGAGAUGGAGGAAUUCAACGAGUUUGAUUAUUCACUUAUCAUAAAAAUGUUUCUGUAUUCUCAUCUUGUGUGAAGCAUUUGUUUGUUGUGGUUGCUAAUAUUGUAUACUCUUUGAAGUCUGCAACCCAAUUAUCCAUUACUGACUGGGUUAUGAAGGGGUUUUAUAUACAGAAGAUUGUGGUAAGAAGACUGUGUGAUAGAUUAUUUGAGGUGAUUUCUAUUCUUUAAUUUUCAUUUUAAUCAAGUUUGGAACAGAUUCAGUUAGUAUCCUAAAUGUUUGAUAAAAUGCAAUUCCAUCUGUACAGGUUAUUUUGUUGUGUUGGGUUGAUAUAAAAAUUGAAUUUCUAUAAAAGAUAGAUAAUGAACUUGAAUUUAUGAUAUUUUAUAAUGAGGUGUAUGUAGUGCUGUCUCAAUGGCUAUUUGGGUAUCAAUUUUGUUCCUAAUUGAAGCUGAAUGACUCUAAUGAUGAGGAUGAGCAAAUGGAGAUAACCUGGAAAUGAGCAGCUAUCACUAACGAGUUCGAUUUCGGAUUCGUUGGUCCAAAUGGCCUUAACUGGUUUUGUGGCUGUGGGAGCAGUAAAGAGUAUCUGCACAUGUGGUAUGAAUUUUAGAUUCACCCCAGGUGGAUGUUGGGUCGUUUCCAGUGAAGGCACAACACUGUCAAGGUUGGUUAAAUAUUCCUCAAUUAUUGCACUCUGAAGUUUAAUUCUUUUGCUUCUCUAAGUGGAUAAUAUGUUGGUUAAAUUUCUGAAUUUUCAGUCCUAUGAGGUGAACUUGUUCCCUCAAGAGAAAUAUGCUAGUAGAACUGUAAAUAAUUUGUUCUUCUGGAUCUAGUUAUUUGUCUAUUCGGUCUUCGAUAUGAAUCUUCUUCUGAAAAUGUGCUGUCAAUAUUUCUUGCAAUCACUGUUUCAUUAGUUUUCAAUUGCGUCUUAUUGUGUUUCCUUUCUAUGGAUAUACCAUCUUAUUCUAAGCCAUCACUCGCACACAUGUUCUAGGGGAUAAAUGUUAAUGUCAAGAGUAAUAUCUCUCUGUUCUUUUUUGUUGGAAACAAAGACUUGUAUAUGUAGCGUGUACGUGGAUCGUCCAAUUUCUCUUGAUUGUUUAGCAAAGGGAAUUCAGGGGUUCCCAAUAAAGAGAUGACUACUUAGAGAUAACUAUUUCAUGGUAUUAGAUCUCAAUCAAGCUCUACAGUGUUUCAUAUUUAAGGGUAGCAAAAUGUAUGAACACCUUAGAGUAAGAUGUCUAAAUUAUCAUGGCAUGAACUAUCUGACGAAAAUGCUCAAAUUAAAAUGGUACCGACAUUGCCUCCUUAAAUGGCGAGCUGUUUUUAGCGUCAAGGAGUUCAACAUGGAACAAACUUGUCUAGCAGUUUCUUAAAUGAAAUUCAUAAUCCAACAAAAGACAACCCACUAAUAAAAGAAACACAAAAUACUGAAAGAAGCUGUAACACAGCAGUAUGGACCAGUAGAGAAUGAGGUCACUAACACUGCAGCAAUGAUCCAACCGAAGUAAACAAUUCUGCUUCCCAUCUUGAAGAGACCUGGUGGAUAUGUUGUUGCUCCUUCAUGAACACUCAAAGCUUCAGCAAACCAGAAACACCCGCGAAACUCAACGGAUUUGAGAUGCAGCAACAAACAGUCAGGAAUCGAAUCUAGCCACCGACCGUAAGAUGGGUAUGCUUCAUAGUCGCAAAAUCCAUCAACAAAGAUAAGUGACUCCAGAUUUGGUGAGACAUGGAGAAACUUGAGUAGUGUUUCAACUUUCAACAGUCCGACACGGUAGAAUAACCUCAUCAUGAAAUCCAUAUCCAAUAUGUGAAGCUGCAGUCAUUACUUCCAAAUGAAUCAAGUUAUAAAAUUGAGACAAACUCUUCAGGAAGUGAUCUUGG